UACGUAGGGUGCGAGCGUUAAUCGGAAUUACUGGGCGUAAAGCGUGCGCAGGCGGCUUUCUAAGUCAGAUGUGAAAUCCCCGGGCUUAACCUGGGAACUGCAUUUGUGACUGCAUGGCUGGAGUGCGGCAGAGGGGGAUGGAAUUCCGCGUGUAGCAGUGAAAUGCGUAGAUAUGCGGAGGAACACCGAUGGCGAAGGCAAUCCCCUGGGCCUGCACUGACGCUCAUGCACGAAAGCGUGGGGAGCAAACAGG
RNAcentral lists this ribosomal RNA (253 nucleotides) under uncultured bacterium. Its description in RNAcentral is "partial 16S ribosomal RNA". It matches the Rfam family "Bacterial small subunit ribosomal RNA", at positions 524 to 776 of the family's 1533-position model. The record is from RNAcentral.